This 86-nucleotide unclassified non-coding RNA is filed under the name Pseudomonas trivialis. The record is from RNAcentral. Lineage: Bacteria; Pseudomonadati; Pseudomonadota; Gammaproteobacteria; Pseudomonadales; Pseudomonadaceae.
GUGGGAGGGGGCUUGCUCCCGAUGGCUGUGAGUCAGUGACCUAUCAGUGCCUGACACUCUGCUAUCGGGAGCAAGCCCCCUCCCAC